Molecule: transfer RNA, 98 nt
Filed under: Methanopyrus kandleri
Lineage: Archaea; Methanobacteriati; Methanobacteriota; Methanopyri; Methanopyrales; Methanopyraceae
Rfam family: tRNA (bases 1-73)
About the family: Transfer RNA (tRNA) molecules are approximately 80 nucleotides in length.
Source: RNAcentral
AGGGCCGUGGGGUAGCGGUCUAUCCUGCGGGGCUUUGGACCCCGCGACCCCGGUUCAAAUCCGGGCGGCCCUACCACUCCGAAUCGUUUUGAGAACCA